AUGCUUGCUUCAGCAGCAUAUAUACUAAAAUUGGAAUGAUACAGAGAAGAUUAGCACGGCCCCGGCGCAAGGAUGACACACAAAUUCAUGAAGCGUUCCAUAUUUUU
This is a small nuclear RNA of Delphinapterus leucas (beluga whale), 107 nucleotides long. NCBI's taxonomy places the organism in Eukaryota, Metazoa, Chordata, Mammalia, Artiodactyla, Monodontidae. The record is from Ensembl.